GGUUUGAUCAUGGCUCAGAUUGAACGCUGGCGGGAUGCUUUAUACGUAAGUCGAACGGCAGCACGGACUUCGGUCUGGUGGCGAGUAUGAACGGGUGAGUAAUGUAUCGGAACGUGCCUAGUAGCGGGGGAUAACUACGCGAAAGCGUGGUAGCUAAUACCGCACAUUGUCACCCUCGGGGGAAAGCGGGGACCUUCGGGCCCCGCACUAUUAGAGCGGCCGAUAUCGGAUUAGCUAGUUGGUGGGGUAACGGCUCACCAAGGCGACGAUCCGUAGCUGGUUUGAGAGUGGAAUACCAGCCACACUGACUGAGACACGGCCCAGACUUACGGAGGCAGCAGUGGGGAAUUUUGGACAAAUGGGAAACCCUGAUCCAGCCAUCCCGCGCGUGCGAUGAAGGCCUUCGGGUUGUAAAGCACUUUUGGCAGGAAAGAAAUGGCACGGAUAAUACCCCGUGCAACUGACGGUACCUGCAGAAUAAGCACCGGCUAACUACGUGCCAGCAGCCGCGGUAAUACGUAGUGCUGCUAACGGAAUUACUGGGCGUAAAGCGUAGGUGUUAAUUCUGCGCAAAGACGGAACUUGGAGCUAUCCCAGAAAUCAAAUUUUAAGACCAUCGAGUUAGAGGCCAGGGAAUGGAAUCUGCACAAAUGCGCAGAUUACAAAGAGGAAACAACGACACGAAGGCAGCCCUCCUGGGAUAACACUGACGCUCAUGCACGAAAGCGUGGGGAGCAAACAGGAUUAGAUACCCUGGUAGUCCACGCCCUAAACGAUGUCAACUAGCCGUUGGGGCCUCGGGCCUUGGUAGCGCAGCUAACGCGUGAAGUUGACCGCCCGGGGAGUACGGUCGCAAGAUUAAAACUCAAAGAAUUGACGGGACCGCACAAGCGGCGGAUGAUGUGGAUUAAUUCGAUGCAACGCGAAAAACCUUACCUACCCGCGAUGUCUGGAAUCCCGAAGAGAUUUGGGAGUGCUCGCAAGAGGAACUGAACACAGGUGCUGCAUGGCUAAGCCGUCAGCUCGUGUCGAGAUGUUGGGUUAAGUCCCGCAACGAGCGCAACCCUUGUCAUUAGUUGCUACGAAAGGGCACUCUAAUGAGAGACUGCCGGUGACAAACCGAGGAAGGUGAUGACGUCAAGUCCUCAUGGCCCUUAUGGGUAGGGUCACGACGUCAUACAAUGGUCGGGACAGAGGGUCGCCAACCCGCGAGAGUGGGGAGCCAAAUCCCAGAACCCGAUCGUGGUCCGGAUCGCAGUCUGCAACUCGACUGCGUGAAGUCGGAAUCGCUAGUAAUCGCGGAUCAGCAUGUCGCGGUGAAUACGUUCCCGGGUCUUGUACACACCGCCCGUCACACCAUGGGAGUGGGCCACCAGAAGUAGUUAGCCUAAAUCGUAAGGAGGGCGAUUACCAUGGUAGGAUUCAUGACUGGGGUGAAGUCGUAACAAG
Molecule: ribosomal RNA, 1449 nt
Filed under: uncultured Bordetella sp.
Lineage: Bacteria; Pseudomonadati; Pseudomonadota; Betaproteobacteria; Burkholderiales; Alcaligenaceae
Description: partial 16S-23S ribosomal RNA intergenic spacer
Rfam family: Bacterial small subunit ribosomal RNA
Source: RNAcentral